This 782-nucleotide ribosomal RNA is filed under the name Acarospora fusca. RNAcentral's name for it is "partial large subunit ribosomal RNA". It matches the Rfam family "Eukaryotic large subunit ribosomal RNA", at positions 310 to 1414 of the family's 3401-position model. The record is from RNAcentral. Lineage: Eukaryota; Fungi; Ascomycota; Lecanoromycetes; Acarosporales; Acarosporaceae.
CUAAAGCUAAAUAUUGGCCAGAGACCGAUAGCGCACAAGUAGAGUGAUCGAAAGAUGAAAAGCACCUUGGAAAGAGAGUCAAACCAGUACGUGAAAUGUUGAAAGGGAAGCGCCUGCAACCAGACUUGCCCGCGGGUGAUCAGCCCGUAAUCUUACCGGUGCACUCGCCCGUGGUCAGGCCAGCAUCGGUUCGGGCGGCUGGAUAAAGUCCACUGGAAAGUAGCUCCCUUCGGGGAGUGUUAUAGCCAGAGGUGCCAUGCAGCCCGCCCGGACCGAGGACCGCGCUUCGGCUAGGAUGCUGGCGUAAUGGUUGCAAGCGACCCGUCUUGAAACACGGACCAAGGAGUCUAACAUCUAUGCGAGUGUUUGGGUGUCAAACCCAUGCGCGUAAUGAAAGUGAACGGAGGUGGGAACCCUUAAGGGUGCCCCAUUGACCGAUCCUGAUGUUUUUGGAUGGAUUUGAGUAAGAGCAUAGCUGUUGGGACCCGAAAGAUGGUGAACUAUGCCUGAAUAGGGUGAAGCCAGAGGAAACUUUGGUGGAGGCUUGCAGCGGUUUUGACGUGCAAAUCGAUUGUCAAAUUUGGGUAUAGGGGGGAAAGACUAAUCGAACCCUUUGGUACUAGAUGGCAUACCGGGCCGCGCGCCCCAGUAGUCCCCGCGUGGCGGGGGCAACAUCGCCGGUCUCUCCGGGGACGCUCCUGGGCUACCCGCAGUGAGCCUUUGGGCUCAUUCACAGACUAAGUGGCGGUGGCUGUGCCCUGGAGCACGGUUAGGAUAUAGUC